CUCAGAUCGUUCUCUGUAUGUGCUUGUCAUUAGAGCAACAAGACAAUUAUGUGAUUGUUGGAAUUAAUUCUUAUAGUUCCAUUGAACUUGCUGCCCUAACCUUUGCAAAGAGCAGAAAGUAUCAAGGCGAUAAAGGAACGCAGUAGGAGCACACAGGCAUCCCACCCCCGUGCCAAGGAAUGAAUGGUGUGUGCGAUAUACCAAACUGACUUGCUGAUCACUGGACUUGUUUACAUGGCAGUCAGCAUAUGGAGGGUUAACUACAGCUGCAAUAGGAAGGCAGUUUUGACUGUUCUGUCAAUACUCUUCAAAUAUAUGGGAAAAAAACACCCAAACUCCCAAG
This 343-nucleotide long non-coding RNA is filed under the name Gallus gallus (chicken). RNAcentral's name for it is "long non-coding RNA NONGGAT007859". The record is from RNAcentral. Lineage: Eukaryota; Metazoa; Chordata; Aves; Galliformes; Phasianidae.